Long non-coding RNA from Jaculus jaculus (lesser Egyptian jerboa), 686 nucleotides. RefSeq lists it as uncharacterized. Lineage: Eukaryota; Metazoa; Chordata; Mammalia; Rodentia; Dipodidae. The record is from RefSeq and is a predicted model, not a curated record. The transcript has 2 exons.
CCCUGCGCUCCUGCUCGCAGCAGCCUCGGUGGGCUGCAGAAUGGGAGUGCUCCGAAAGGCACUGGUGUGUUCCUCUCAAUGUUCUGCUCAUUUCCAUGGAUCCCUAAAUUAGACCUUGAAAGCAGCGGAAGUUGCCGGGCAGCCAAGGAGUGAGAACACCGCAGAACCCACUGUGUAAUCCCAGCCAGGGCUCUCUGAGGGCCAAGGAAAUGAAGUCUGAGAUGCCCCUGCCUCCUUGUGCCCCCCUUCGGUGCAGGAGCAAGAGUCCCGUCAGCAUGCCCAGGGCCCUGGGCCAUCUGUGGGGACUGAACAAGGACUCCCAGCCAGCAGGAGGAUGCCACAGGAUGGCUGAGCCACCCCCACGAAGGCCCCAUCCUGGGACUCCACCACUGACCUUAGGCCCAGCAGCUAGCCAGUCUCUGGACAUGACUUCUGUGCAUCUGGGAGGUACUGGUGUCAUUGAAGAUGUACUUGCAGCAAAGAUGAUUUCUGGCUUUUGCAGAGAUGCACUAUUAGCAGGACCAGACUGGAUGAUCCUUUUUGUGGCCAGUCUCCUGAGGAGAGCAUGCCCAGUGUGAUGAACACGGGAGAGGGCCGUUUCCUCCCUGCUGACGUAGCGGAGGGUCUGGGUAGAGAGGAGAUGCAGGAGAGCCUUCCCAGUGUUUGCUGAAUAAACAUUGAAUCAA